RNAcentral lists this ribosomal RNA (253 nucleotides) under uncultured bacterium. Its description in RNAcentral is "partial 16S ribosomal RNA". It matches the Rfam family "Bacterial small subunit ribosomal RNA", at positions 524 to 776 of the family's 1533-position model. The record is from RNAcentral.
GACAGAGGGUGCAAACGUUGUUCGGAAUUACUGGGCGUAAAGCGAGUGUAGGCGGUCUCGUAAGUCGGAUGUGAAAGCCCCGGGCUCAACCCGGGAAGUGCACUCGAUACUGCGAGACUUGAGUACCGGAGAGGUUGGUGGAAUUCUCGGUGUAGAGGUGAAAUUCGUAGAUAUCGAGAGGAACACCGGUGGCGAAGGCGGCCAACUGGACGAGUACUGACGCUGAGACUCGAAAGCGUGGGGAGCAAACAGG